RNAcentral lists this ribosomal RNA (495 nucleotides) under uncultured bacterium. RNAcentral's name for it is "partial 16S ribosomal RNA". It matches the Rfam family "Bacterial small subunit ribosomal RNA", at positions 28 to 507 of the family's 1533-position model. The record is from RNAcentral.
GACGAACGCUGGCGGCGUGCCUAAUACAUGCAAGUAGAACGCUGAAGGGGGAGCUUGCUCUUCUGGAUGAGUUGCGAACGGGUGAGUAACGCGUAGGUAACCUGCCUGGUAGCGGGGGAUAACUAUUGGAAACGAUAGCUAAUACCGCAUAACAGUAGAUGUUGCAUGACAUUUACUUAAAAGGUGCAAUUGCAUCACUACCAGAUGGACCUGCGUUGUAUUAGCUAGUUGGUGGGGUAACGGCUCACCAAGGCGACGAUACAUAGCCGACCUGAGAGGGUGAUCGGCCACACUGGGACUGAGACACGGCCCAGACUCCUACGGGAGGCAGCAGUAGGGAAUCUUCGGCAAUGGACGGAAGUCUGACCGAGCAACGCCGCGUGAGUGAAGAAGGUUUUCGGAUCGUAAAGCUCUGUUGUAAGAGAAGAACGAGUGUGAGAGUGGAAAGUUCACACUGUGACGGUAUCUUACCAGAAAGGGACGGCUAACUACGUG